RNAcentral lists this long non-coding RNA (900 nucleotides) under Heterocephalus glaber (naked mole-rat). RNAcentral describes it as "lncRNA (ENSHGLG00000045123.1)". The record is from RNAcentral. Lineage: Eukaryota; Metazoa; Chordata; Mammalia; Rodentia; Bathyergidae.
CGGGGAGCCGGCACCCUGGGCAGGGCACUCUCCAGAUGACGCUGGUUCUCAGAGACGCCAUCUGCUUUUGUGACACACGACCGGGGAAGAGAGAAACAAGCAGGCUGAGCUUGGGAGCGACUCCUGGUCGGCAGCCAACCACCACGCCCGGCAGCUGCCUCCAGACCGGUCCCUACCCAGCGUCUCUCCGCUCCGGGUCCCGAAGCCCCACCUUGCCGCAGGUGUGCACCAGGCCGGUGUUUCUCUCCGCUCGGCUCCGCCGUCUGGGGGACGGCAGGAACUCGACCCAGUACUUCCCACUGCUCCCCUCUGACCAGGCUUCCCGGAGCCCAGGACCUCAGGAAGCCCCUCCCUUGGCCGUCAGCCCCCCGCAGAGCCCUGGAUGCCAUGGAAACCGCCAGGCUUGGUGGCAGAACUUGCCAGAGGCCCCUGUACCAGGGGCCACUCAGGAGCAGCAGCCACGUCUCUCAGCCCCAGCAGGGCCCAGCCCGCCUACCCUCCCCAGCAUAGACUGCUGAGGCCUCUUCUGCCUGGACACUGCCUCCCCAUCAUUGUCCCUGUCACCAGCUCCAGCACACCAGGCUCUGCUCCCAGCCCCCGGCCAUCACACACUUCGUGGCCUGUGCCCACCACACUGUUCAUCCACUGGCAAACUCCUUCCCACUCUGCAAAGCCCAGUUCCAAGGACCUGAAGAGGCUGCUGUGGUCACGGCUCAAUGCUGGUCUCGCUGAGAAGUCGUGGCUGCCUCACCUCCUCAUCGAGCUGCCAGGCUGUGAGCCCCAGUCGGAAGAGCGGCUCCUUUUCUCUGACUGCCCACGAACAGCCUUGGGGACGACCAUGUUCAAAUGUUCAUUUGCAACCAGCUGCAGGAUUGGAUUCAACGGCAGUCAGAAAGAAAG